UUCAAGACCCAUCCAGCCUGGCCUUGGACACUCCCAGGAAUGGGGCAGCCACAGCUUCUCUGGGGAGCCUGUGCCAUGGCCUCACCACCCUUCUAGUAAAGAAUUUAUUUUUAAUAUCCAGUCCAAUACUGCCCUCCUUCAGUUUACAGUUGCUUCCCCUUGUCUUAUUGCUCUAUACCCUGGUGAAUAUCAAGUAAAUUUCCCUCAUUUCAGAGAAACACCACUCACUUGGUGGAACCGGCUCAGAACCUGUCCUGAACCACGGCGCCUUGCUAUCCUGGAAGCCUUUGCACAUCUCACUCAGAAGAAACCCAAGAGCUGAGCGUGCCGGGAUACUUACAGCCC
Molecule: long non-coding RNA, 345 nt
Organism: Melospiza melodia melodia
Lineage: Eukaryota; Metazoa; Chordata; Aves; Passeriformes; Passerellidae
Exons: 3
Source: RefSeq, a predicted model, not a curated record